This 500-nucleotide ribosomal RNA is filed under the name Bactrocera paraxanthodes. RNAcentral's name for it is "partial large subunit ribosomal RNA". Lineage: Eukaryota; Metazoa; Arthropoda; Insecta; Diptera; Tephritidae. The record is from RNAcentral.
CCUGUUUAACAAAAACAUGUCUUUUUGAGUUAUUUUUAAAGUCUGACCUGCCCACUGAAAUUAUUAAAUGGCCGCAGUAUUCUAACUGUGCAAAGGUAGCAUAAUCAUUAGUCUUUUAAUUGAAGGCUGGUAUGAACGGUUGGACGAGGUAUAAGCUGUUUCAUUUAAAUUUAUAGUAGAAUUUUAUAUUUUAGUCAGAAAGCUAAAAUGUUAUUAAAAGACGAGAAGACCCUAUAAAUCUUUAUAUUUUAUAUAAUUUAAAUUUUUUGGUUUAAGUUUGUUUUUAUUCUAUAAAAUAUUUUGUUGGGGUGAUAUUAAAAUUUGAUGAACUUUUAAUUAUUUAAAAUCAUUAAUUUAUGAAUUAUUGAUCCMUUAGUAGUGAUUAUAAGAUUAAGUUACUUUAGGGAUAACAGCGUAAUUUUUUUGGAGAGUUCAUAUCGAUAAAAAAGUUUGCGACCUCGAUGUUGGAUUAAGAUAUAAUUUUAGGUGUAGCCGCUUAA